Molecule: transfer RNA, 74 nt
Filed under: Pleodorina starrii
Lineage: Eukaryota; Viridiplantae; Chlorophyta; Chlorophyceae; Chlamydomonadales; Volvocaceae
Description: tRNA-Ile
Source: RNAcentral
GGCCUUCUAGCUCAGUUGGUUAGAGCGUGGUGCUAAUAACGCCAAGGUUAUCAGUUCGAUACUGAUGAGGGCCA